GAUGAAGAACGCAGCGAACGUGCGAAACGUAAUGUGAAUUGCAGAAUUCAGUGAAUCAUCGAAUCUUUGAACGCACAUUGCGCCCUCUGGUAUUCCGGGGGGCAUGCCUGUUCGAGCGUCAUUAUAACCACUCAAGCUCUCGCUUGGUAUUGGGGUUCGCGGUUUCGCGGCCCCUAAAAUCAGUGGCGGUGCCUGUCGGCUCUACGCGUAGUAAUACUCCUCGCGAUUGAGUCCGGUAGGUCUACUUGCCAGCAACCCCUAAUUUUUUUAAGGUUGACCUCGGAUCAGGUAGGGAUACCCGCUGAACUUAAGCAUAUCAAUAAGCGGAGGA
RNAcentral lists this unclassified non-coding RNA (331 nucleotides) under soil metagenome. RNAcentral describes it as "partial contains 5.8S ribosomal RNA, internal transcribed spacer 2, and large subunit ribosomal RNA". The stretch from base 1 to 121 matches the Rfam family "5.8S ribosomal RNA", at positions 35 to 154 of the family's 154-position model. The record is from RNAcentral.